Molecule: long non-coding RNA, 1368 nt
Filed under: Canis lupus familiaris (dog)
Lineage: Eukaryota; Metazoa; Chordata; Mammalia; Carnivora; Canidae
Description: lncRNA (ENSCAFG00000052693.1)
Source: RNAcentral
GCAUCCGGGGAUGCGUCAGGUGCGCUCCCUCCGCGACACGGCGUCUCCACCGGGUUGGGACAGCCUCGCGGAAGCCGCGGGGACUCGCCGGCCCGCCCGACCCGCGGGACUCUGAGAAGGCUCCGCGCAGGGCUGCCCUCCCGGCAGGUGCCUUCACGGGGUCGCGCCGCGGAAAACCCCAGUAAACACCCCCUUCUCACGAGGCCCCGGUUCCACCGACUGGGUCAUGGUGCCCCCUGGGCCGGGGGGUGCGGGGGGUGCGGGGGGUGCGGGGGGGGGGAGGGCGGGGGCGGGGUCUUCCCCCAAGGCCGGGCAGGCCCUGAGCUCCUGCCAAAGGAAACGUUCGCUCCGGCUCCUGAAGACCUGCGCGCGGAGCCACCGGGUCCGGUCCUCACGGCCGGGAUCAGGGCCAGAGCCGGGCACAGCGUGGAAACCAACUUGCACACUUCGACGGGCCAUCGCCUGCCCGCGCCACGCCGGGGCCGGCCGCCGUAUCCGGGGCGGGGCGGGGGGCGGCCCGUAUCUUACGGGAAAACACCGACGUUGGGGGUAACCCAACGCCUCGCUCCGGCACACGGGCAGCCGGCGAGCGCGGCCGGGCCUGGAACCCGCGCCCUCCCCGCGCCCGGCUCUCCCGCCCUCCCGCGCCGCGGGGCCCGCAGGCUGGGGCGGGGCCACGGGGCGGGGGCGGGGCCAGCGCCGUCCGGGGGCGGGGCCACGGGGCGGGGGCGGGGCCAGCGCGGCCGAGGAGCCGCCCGACCCCACGCGCUCCCGCCCGCGCCCCCGCCCCCGCCCCCGUCCCCAGGACGCGCCGCCGCAGCGCGGGCUCCGACCCGACGGUGCCCGGAAGUCGGGGCCCAGCCCGCGGCGGGUCGGGAGGCGCGGGGCUCCCCGGAGCCCGCCCGACGGCGGCGGGGGCCAAGGACGGUGUGGGAGCGGCCGCGCCCGGCGCCGCCCCGCCCCCCGCCCCGUCAGCGCGUCUGCCGCGUCGGGCCUCGCGGCGGGUCACGAGGCGGGUGUGGCGCAGUCAGCCCUCCGCCGCCGCCGCCGCCUCCGCCGCCCUCCCGCGCGCCACGUCCGCGGCCCCGCCCCGCCCCGCCCCCGCGCGGGGAACCCCGCUGUCGUCACCCGCCGCGCGCUCGCCUUCCCGCGCGCUCCAGAAAGGACGCGAAGCCGGUGACGUGUCCCGGGCGCCCGCGAGGCUGCGCAGACGGCGAGGGCAGGACGCUCCGCGGCGCCGCCUGGCGGGAGAGCGCGCGGCCGCCGCGGCCGGAAGCGGGGUGCGUGACGUCACCCGCGGGGGGGCCGCCGCGUGACCUGCCGGCGCGGCUGUGCCUGUGGGGCGGGGCCCGGUGCCGGCGUCCGUGA